Nomascus leucogenys (northern white-cheeked gibbon) is the source of this 105-nucleotide small nuclear RNA. The record is from Ensembl. NCBI's taxonomy places the organism in Eukaryota, Metazoa, Chordata, Mammalia, Primates, Hylobatidae.
UUGCUCACUUCAGCAAUACAUAUACUAAAAUUGGAAUGAUACAGAGAAGGUUAGCAUGGCCUCUGUGCAAGGAUGACACAAAUUCAUGAGACAUUCCAUUUUAAA